Molecule: ribosomal RNA, 504 nt
Filed under: uncultured bacterium
Lineage: Bacteria
Description: bacterial SSU rRNA
Rfam family: Bacterial small subunit ribosomal RNA
Source: RNAcentral
GACGAACGCUGGCGGCGUGCUUAACACAUGCAAGUCGAACGGUAAGGCCCUUCGGGUACACGAGUGGCGAACGGGUGAGUAACACGUGGGUGAUCUGCCCUGCACUUUGGGAUAAGCCUGGGAAACUGGGUCUAAUACCGAAUAGGACUCCGGACUGCAUGGUCUGGGGUGGAAAGCUUUUGCGGUGUGGGAUGGGCCCGCGGCCUAUCAGCUUGUUGGUGGGGUGAUGGCCUACCAAGGCGACGACGGGUAGCCGGCCUGAGAGGGUGACCGGCCACACUGGGACUGAGACACGGUCCAGACUCCUACGGGAGGCAGCAGUGGGGAAUAUUGCGCAAUGGGCGAAAGCCUGACGCAGCCACGCCGCGUGAGCGAUGAAGGUCUUCGGAUCGUAAAGCUCUGUGGGGGGGAGAAGAAGAAAGCCGGUGAAGAGCCGGCCCUGACGGUAUCCCCUUAGCAAGCACCGGCUAACUCCGUGCCAGCAGCCGCGGUAAAGUACAGUGU